Molecule: RNA transcript, 1712 nt
Organism: Scylla paramamosain (green mud crab)
Lineage: Eukaryota; Metazoa; Arthropoda; Malacostraca; Decapoda; Portunidae
Exons: 4
Source: RefSeq, a predicted model, not a curated record
AGAGUGUAAGAAAGGCAGGAAAAGUGAGUGGCGAGUGUGUGGGGCGACACUGUACCCUCCCCACUGUUUUGGAGGACAAAGUGAAAGAUGGAGGCGGAAGGAAGGGCCAGUGAGCUGCGUAUGCUUGACCUCUGAGUAGGGAAAAAAAAAAAAAAAAAAUGACACGUUUCGGAAACAACUUGUAUCAUAAGUAGAGAACGUGCAUCCCGUUAAGCAGCCGCGCAUUGCAAGGCCACGAGAGUACGUGGUAUGAUCGCAAGUGACACGUCCGGAAAUCAGCGUUUAAUUGCGUGUGUCUUAAUAGAAAAAAAUAGCUGAUUUCCAAAUUAUACAUCAAAGUAUGACCUCGUCUAGUUCAGGAGAGUCCUUCGUAUAAAUGCACUGGUGUGUGUGUGUGUGUGUGUGAGUGUUAUUGCUAGUUAUCUCUCUCUCUCUCUGUCAGUAGUUGCACAGGUCUUCAAGGGUAUUUUUACGGUUUUAGUGACAGAUUAACAACAUUUCUACAUUAAUAACAGGAGAAACAUCAUUGAAAACCCUGAUAAUCAUCUUUAUAGCUUUGAAAAACAGUCGUGAGGAGAGAGAGAGAGAGAGAGAGAGAGAGAGAGAGAGAGAGAGAGAGAGAGAGAGAGAGAGAGAGAGAGAAAGAGCAUUUCAGUUGAGCCUAUUCUGCCCUGGUUCGUGUUUGCUGCGGUGACACGGUGCCGCACUGAGUGAAGAUUGCGUUCAUAAUCACUUAUCGGGGGUGGAGUGGAGAAAGGACAGUCAGGAAGUGAGGAUAUUUAUAUUAUUUGACAUAUUAUUUGAUAGCAUGUCAACUUUUGUGUGUGUGUGUGUGUGUGUGUGUGGGUGGGUGUUGGAUCAGUGACAGGUGGCGCUGGGGAGUUACCACGGCGAGCGGCUGGCUGGCUGCAGUGUUUUGGUCAGCACUGGUCAAUCUUGCCCUACACGCUCUAUUAACCAGUGUUUCCGUCUUCCCGACACCUUCUUCUUGCACCAAGCACCGUCAAGCAUCACCAGAGAGGCACGAGUACGUAAGAUAAUCAAGGAGUUCCUGAGAUUAGAACCACAAGCGGAUGAACCAGACCCAAGAGUAGCAGUUUUGAAAGGGCUGGAGAAAUAUAGGCUCCCAAUAAUUGCCAUUCUCAAAAAAAGAAAAGCAGUUCCUCUGUAUAUGGAAACCUUACUUGAACUCUAUGGCCACGAUGAAAGUCAAUGCGAAUGCUUGCUUAGUUAUAUUGGGGUUACUUCACCUGCUUGGAGAAAGGAAAGACUCCAUUUUUACUAAGGUACCAGAAGAAGAACUAAGAACAGGGCAGUCUAGUGUGUAUUUGAUGGUGCACCUGUAGCUGAACCAACAUGUAUUUCUAUGGCUGUAGUCUCAUUGGUAGCAGGGCUUUGUGUUUAAUAUUGAACACCCCAAAAAUUGUGAACAUUUCCUCCGUUUCACAACAUCUCAUCUCUUAGGUAUCAAGUAUGAAAAAGGUAACACUUCAAAAACAAAAUCUCUACUUGUAAAACUCAAUGAAGUAAAGACAGAAUUGAGCUACAAAAAUGCAUAAAUCUGCUUCCAAAUAUAUUCAACUCCACACAUAAUGCCUCUCUCUCUCUCUCUCUCUCUCUCUCUCUCUCUCUCUCUCUCUCUCUCUCUCUCUCUCUCUCUCUCUCUCUCUCUCUCUCUGUCACACACACACACACACACACACACACACACA